This 568-nucleotide ribosomal RNA is filed under the name uncultured Rhodococcus sp. Its description in RNAcentral is "bacterial SSU rRNA". It matches the Rfam family "Bacterial small subunit ribosomal RNA", at positions 338 to 916 of the family's 1533-position model. The record is from RNAcentral. Lineage: Bacteria; Bacillati; Actinomycetota; Actinomycetes; Mycobacteriales; Nocardiaceae.
CCUACGGGAGGCAGCAGUGAGGAAUAUUGCACAAUGGGCGGAAGCCUGAUGCAGCGACGCCGCGUGAGGGAUGAAGGCCUUCGGGUUGUAAACCUCUUUCAGCAGGGACGAAGCGUGAGUGACGGUACCUGCAGAAGAAGCACCGGCUAACUACGUGCCAGCAGCCGCGGUAAUACGUAGGGUGCGAGCGUUGUCCGGAAUUACUGGGCGUAAAGAGUUCGUAGGCGGUUUGUCGCGUCGUUUGUGAAAACCCGGGGCUCAACUUCGGGCUUGCAGGCGAUACGGGCAGACUUGAGUGUUUCAGGGGAGACUGGAAUUCCUGGUGUAGCGGUGAAAUGCGCAGAUAUCAGGAGGAACACCGGUGGCGAAGGCGGGUCUCUGGGUAGUAACUGACGCUGAGGAACGAAAGCGUGGGUAGCGAACAGGAUUAGAUACCCUGGUAGUCCACGCUGUAAACGGUGGGUACUAGGUGUGGGUUCCUUUUCACGGGAUCCGUGCCGUAGCUAACGCAUUAAGUACCCCGCCUGGGGAGUACGGCCGCAAGGCUAAAACUCAAAGGAAUUGACGG